This 305-nucleotide long non-coding RNA is filed under the name Elaeis guineensis (African oil palm). Its description in RNAcentral is "long non-coding RNA (EGUI_LNC016465)". The record is from RNAcentral. Lineage: Eukaryota; Viridiplantae; Streptophyta; Magnoliopsida; Arecales; Arecaceae.
CUCUCGCAUCUAGCGAUUCCCAUCCUUCUAGGUGUGUUCCACAAAUUGCUUUUUGUCUUCUUUUAUUCAUUUGUUUUUGCUUCGUUUCCUGAAGACAUACUAUUGAGCAUAUGGAUUGUUUGAUUGUUUCCUUAACUGCUCUUUUCUUCUUAGAAUCCCCAGUUCCUCCAGUGUUCCAGCUGAGUAUCAUCCGUUACAUGGGUAUAACAUUUCAGUUAUGGGCAGGAGGAGGAGAAAAUAGGAGUUAUAUUUCAGAGAUGCAAGUAGAGUAGAUACAUUGCUCCAGAGCAGACCAUCAGCAUCCC